CCGGGCGGAGCGCGGGGGGCGAGGCCGGCGCGGCGCUCGCGGGAGGCCGGGGAGCAGCAGGGGCAUGUGGAUACUGGCCCUCUCCUUGUUCCAGAGCUUCGCGAAUGUUUUCAGUGAGGACCUUCACUCCAGCCUCUACUUUGUCAAUGCAUCUCUGCAAGAGGUAGUGUUUGCGAGCACCACGGGGACCCUGGUGCCCUGCCCCGCAGCAGGGAUCCCUCCUGUGUCUCUCAGAUGGUACCUAGCGACGGGCGAGGAGAUCUACGAUGUCCCCGGAAUCCGCCACGUCCACCCCAACGGCACUCUCCAGAUUUUCCCCUUCCCUCCUUCAAGCUUUAGUACCUUAAUCCAUGAUAAUACUUACUAUUGCACAGCUGAAAAUCCUUCAGGGAAAAUUAGAAGUCAGGAUGUCCACAUCAAGGCUGUUUUACGGGAGCCCUAUACAGUCCGUGUGGAGGACCAGAAAACCAUGAGAGGCAAUGUCGCGGUCUUCAAGUGCAUUAUCCCCUCCUCGGUGGAGGCCUACAUCGCCGUGGUCUCAUGGGAGAAAGACACCGUGUCACUCAUCUCAGGUAGGGCGUGGGCUUCCUCGGGCCAGGCGGGGCUCCAGGCUCUCCUGCGCACAGCUCCUUCUGGAUAACGAAUCGGGUCUCCAUGUAUUCGCGCACUGUAAUGAAGAAUGUGUGUGCUUCAAGUUGACGCUGUUUUAGAUUAAACGUGGUAUCAGUGUUUUCUUUCGGUUUGUAUGGCUGGAUUCAUAGGUUCCAGUGAAUUGACUGAUGGAUAGAAAUUUGUUCCAUGCAUUAUGUGUAUAGUCACUGAGUUACUUUUGGUUUCCAAGUUACCAAGGAAACAUUUUGGUUUUAUUUCUGCUCCUGGGAAUAGAAAUAGAGGAUUGUUGUUAUCUGUGAGAAACCUCAGAACUGAUAUCCUUAUAUUCUCUGUAAUCUGGAAAAUGGAAAUCCUGAUUUUACGCUAUUCUCAGCCUUUCAAGUGUAUUCACAGUCAUGUGAUAUCUCUGGCCGCUUAAAGAUUUUAUUUGGGAUAUGUAGUCAGUGGCUGAAAUACAUACAGAUAGAUAGGUAGAUAGAUAGAUAUGUACAUAAAUAGCUUACUGGUUUACUUUUGAUAUUUAGAAAAUAUACCACUGAAAUCUAACUU
RNAcentral lists this long non-coding RNA (1161 nucleotides) under Capra hircus (goat). Its description in RNAcentral is "lncRNA (ENSCHIG00000006825.1)". Lineage: Eukaryota; Metazoa; Chordata; Mammalia; Artiodactyla; Bovidae. The record is from RNAcentral.